RNAcentral lists this non-coding RNA (24 nucleotides) under Arabidopsis thaliana (thale cress). The record is from RNAcentral. Lineage: Eukaryota; Viridiplantae; Streptophyta; Magnoliopsida; Brassicales; Brassicaceae.
AGGCAGAAACAAGUUGAUAGUGCU